Molecule: ribosomal RNA, 491 nt
Filed under: uncultured bacterium
Lineage: Bacteria
Description: partial 16S ribosomal RNA
Rfam family: Bacterial small subunit ribosomal RNA
Source: RNAcentral
GUGAACGCUGGCGGUAGGCCUAACACAUGCAAGUCGAACGGCAGCACAGUAAGAGCUUGCUCUUACGGGUGGCGAGUGGCGGACGGGUGAGGAAUACAUCGGAAUCUACUUUUUCGUGGGGGAUAACGUAGGGAAACUUACGCUAAUACCGCAUACGACCUACGGGUGAAAGCAGGGGAUCUUCGGACCUUGCGCGAUUGAAUGAGCCGAUGUCGGAUUAGCUAGUUGGCGGGGUAAAGGCCCACCAAGGCGACGAUCCGUAGCUGGUCUGAGAGGAUGAUCAGCCACACGGGAACUGAGACACGGUCCAGACUCCUACGGGAGGCAGCAGUGGGGAAUAUUGGACAAGGGGGGCAAGCCUGAUCCAGCCAAACCGCGUGGGUGAAGAAGGCCUUCGGGUUGUAAAGCCCUUUUGUUGGGAAAGAAGAGCAGCAGGUUUAUACCCCGCUGUUCUGACGGUACCCAAAGAAUAAGCACCGGCUAACUUCGUG